This 266-nucleotide long non-coding RNA is filed under the name Homo sapiens (human). RNAcentral's name for it is "non-protein coding lnc-ATP6V1D-6:1". Lineage: Eukaryota; Metazoa; Chordata; Mammalia; Primates; Hominidae. The record is from RNAcentral.
AACCCACUGGAAGGAACCAAUUCCGGACACACUUCCCUACCCACCCUGGUAGCUGAACACAAAGGGUGUACACUCGGGCAUUCUAGGGCCCCACCCACCUCUGGUUCCUCCCCAUACUACCACAGCUGAUACUCUCUGGAAAGCACCACCUCCUGGCAGGGGGCCAACCAGCACAAAAAUAGAGCAUUAAACCACCAAAGCUAAGACCCCUCACAGAGUUCAUUUUACCCCCUUGUCAUCUCCACUGGAACAGCUGCUGGUAUCCA